UGUAAACCUAUAUCUUUUUGUAUAUAUGAGGCCUCUAUUUUUACACUUACGGCCAAUGUUUCUCUACCAAAAGCAAUGAUCGAAAUAUUUUGUGUGUUUUUAUGGAGGUACAAGUGAACAACUCAUAUUGACAAGUGAUAAUCGUAACAGGGAUUUUUUCUAGACAGAAAUCAUAUUUUUCUGAAAACCACAUGGGGGCUAAUCAAUGAUCCACUGGGAUAAAUAGUUAUUCAUACCAAGAACUAUUUGCUUUCAGGACGGGCGUUCGAUGUAACAGCCUGGUACCAUAGGAGGCCAUACCAAGUAAGAGAAGAGUUGUGACAAUUUGGAAAUGUUGCACUUAAAAGUGUCUUUUUUGUAGAUGUCUUACCAAUAAACCGAUGUCUGAAAUAAACAGGACUGUUAAAAAAAAAAUAAACAUGCCUUUGGUGGUUCAAGCUUAUUUGAAAUAAUAAGAGAUGCUAUAGUUACAAGUCACGAAUCUGCAACAGAGACCACAAUAUUGAACUAGUGUGCAAGAUACCUAAAAUAUGCCCCUGAAAUAUCUGGGAAUGUGUCUAGUAAAAGACUAAAAUUUUAAAUAAAAUCAAGUAUUCAGUUUGUGUUUGUUUGAAAUUGUAAGAUGCAUAUGUGAGCAACUUGUAAUAUAAUUAUAGUUUUAUGCCACAGACAUAUUUUGUGUAUGAACAGAAUAGUUAUAAGUAUAUAAAGAAAAAUGAAGGUACAAAAAUGUAUGUCAACUGACACUACAAAAA
Long non-coding RNA from Mytilus californianus (California mussel), 755 nucleotides. RefSeq lists it as uncharacterized. The transcript has 3 exons. Lineage: Eukaryota; Metazoa; Mollusca; Bivalvia; Mytilida; Mytilidae. The record is from RefSeq and is a predicted model, not a curated record.